RNAcentral lists this ribosomal RNA (755 nucleotides) under Acinetobacter sp. DH14-2. Its description in RNAcentral is "bacterial SSU rRNA". It matches the Rfam family "Bacterial small subunit ribosomal RNA", at positions 68 to 818 of the family's 1533-position model. Lineage: Bacteria; Pseudomonadati; Pseudomonadota; Gammaproteobacteria; Moraxellales; Moraxellaceae. The record is from RNAcentral.
GAGAGAGGUAGCUUGCUACUGAUCUUAGCGGCGGACGGGUGAGUAAUGCUUAGGAAUCUGCCUAUUAGUGGGGGACAACAUUUCGAAAGGAAUGCUAAUACCGCAUACGUCCUACGGGAGAAAGCAGGGGAUCUUCGGACCUUGCGCUAAUAGAUGAGCCUAAGUCGGAUUAGCUAGUUGGUGGGGUAAAGGCCUACCAAGGCGACGAUCUGUAGCGGGUCUGAGAGGAUGAUCCGCCACACUGGGACUGAGACACGGCCCAGACUCCUACGGGAGGCAGCAGUGGGGAAUAUUGGACAAUGGGCGCAAGCCUGAUCCAGCCAUGCCGCGUGUGUGAAGAAGGCCUUAUGGUUGUAAAGCACUUUAAGCGAGGAGGAGGCUACUUUAGUUAAUACCUAGAGAUAGUGGACGUUACUCGCAGAAUAAGCACCGGCUAACUCUGUGCCAGCAGCCGCGGUAAUACAGAGGGUGCAAGCGUUAAUCGGAUUUACUGGGCGUAAAGCGCGCGUAGGCGGCUAAUUAAGUCAAAUGUGAAAUCCCCGAGCUUAACUUGGGAAUUGCAUUCGAUACUGGUUAGCUAGAGUGUGGGAGAGGAUGGUAGAAUUCCAGGUGUAGCGGUGAAAUGCGUAGAGAUCUGGAGGAAUACCGAUGGCGAAGGCAGCCAUCUGGCCUAACACUGACGCUGAGGUGCGAAAGCAUGGGGAGCAAACAGGAUUAGAUACCCUGGUAGUCCAUGCCGUAAACGAUGUCUACUA